GAACAAAUAUUCUGUUUAGAAACACGGCAGCACAGCAUCACCACCUGCUGGUUACAUGCCGGUAAUGCAGCCGGUAGACCCGCGAAACGUUUCCUUGAUUAAAGAGGAUGUGACUUUAAUAAUCAUUGCGGGGGCAUUUUAUAAUAUUAGUAGACUUUAACUACUUGUAACUAAAUGUCAUGUUACAUUAACUGUGCAUUUAAUAGUAUUUGUAUUUUGGAGUUGGCCAUUUUUUCCUGUUGAAUACAAACUUUUAGAAUACUUUUCAUUAAUUUAGAUGAGACAUAUCUAGCAGUAGAUACUGUGAUUAUGAUUAUAUAGUAUUUUUCAGGAUUUUGGACACUCAAGAUCACACAUAACAGGCCUUGGUCUCUUCAAUUAAUAAACACAUAAUUCUACACUGGCUACCACACUGAGUACUACACUGAGUACUGCUUAUGUAGAACUUACAUGAAUACGUGUGUGUGUGUGUGUGUGUGUGUGUGUGUGUGUGUGUGUGUGUGUGUGUGUGUGUGUGUGUGUGUGUGUGUGUGUGUGUGUGUGUGUGUGUGUGUGAGUGUGUGUUUAUGGGUUAAACUUUAUUCUGGGGUUAAAUUAUGGCUAUCUCCAUGUGAGAGGUCAGACAUUAGAUAUGAACGUACCUCCUGUCUGGUUAAAGCGCUUCUUCAGAGUCCCAAGGUUGCCUUUGUCGACCUGCUGGUUACCCUUUCUGUUUUCAGUGUCCCUCUCCAGGUAGUCUGGGUCUUUGUCUCUGUUGGCCUGGUCCACCCAGUCCUGUUUGCGUACGAUUCUCUGGGUGUUGCUGUCAUAGUACUCAACCUGAACCUCAUCCACCAUCACAACAUCCACAUACUCUGGGAAGGUUGAGAGUCCAGACGA
Molecule: long non-coding RNA, 879 nt
Organism: Gadus macrocephalus (Pacific cod)
Lineage: Eukaryota; Metazoa; Chordata; Actinopteri; Gadiformes; Gadidae
Exons: 2
Source: RefSeq, a predicted model, not a curated record